GGAUGUUGUAAAAUUUAUAUCAACGCGCAGCAAUAAUCAAUAUAUGUCAUCUUCUUUUUUUAACAGAAUGUCCGGUACCUAAACAACACCUGCUCCCGCUACCACCGAAAAAUCCAACAACUUUAGCAACAACAGGGGAAUCAGCAAGUCUAUCUAAUGGUGAGUAAAGUUAACAUACACCAACAUUUGAAAAAAGAAUAUGACAAAGAGCAACGAUUGGCUAUUUCCUAUAGCUUUGUGGAUAUUUUUCACAUUGACAAUGUCCUUGUAUUGACAACUGAUAACAUAUUUUGUCACAAACAUUUUCUCACAUUUUUUAAUCCUUCAUUUUGAAAAGAAUUACAAAAUAUUAAUGUUUUGUAUUUUGUAUACAAAGGUAUAAUAUCUUUUUAAUUUAUUAACAACAAAAGUAUAAAAAUUAAAUGGUACGGUCACCUUACUGGAAACAUUUACAGAAAAGGCAUCAAAUUUUGAAACAUCGGAAAUGAAUGCACCAAUUCUGAAAGCAACGUCUUAUCGUUCCGUGAUUUUAUAUUGCUUGUCUACAAAAUUUAUAACUCCAUAUACAAGCUUUAUAGAAUAAGGAACCUAACAUGUUUUUUUUUCUUUGACAUACAGGAUUAUGAUAUCAAACACAUGGGUGUAGCAUCAAAAACAAUGUAUCAUCAAAUUAUCUGAAAAAUGGAUCUAAGCCUGACUUUUUGGCUGUUACGGUCAAAUAAUUGAUAUUUGUAUAAAUAUAUUGUUUUUUUUCCCAAUGGCAAAGCCGGACUGUCUUGCAGGUCCAGUCCGCCUUUUCUUUACGAAUUCCUUUAUAUUUUUUAAAUAGUUCAGAUGUCAUGCUUUAACCAAAUAUUGUCUUAAUUGCCUUGACAAGACCGUUUUAGUGUACCAUAAUGUUUAUCCUUAGGGGAUGUAUUACACAUCAUUAAUUUCUAAAUAUUUUGAAACAGUUAUUUCUAAACCCUUCAACCAAUAUAUAUCCUUAGUGUCUACAUGAUACAUUAACAGCAUUUAUGCCGUUUUGACAACAAAGUUUAUCGACAGUUUUGUAGGUAUUCCUAUCGGCAUAAAUUGCGCACCAAAAAUUACUUAAAACUUUACUAAAGUCAACCAUUGACACACAGAUUUGGUUUAAAGUUUUGCUGUACCUGUAGAAACUUCUUCAAACGGGAUAGAUCAUCCUAUAUUUUUGACGAAGAUAUUGUAUACCGAGAUUCGGAAAUUAAGAUUCAAUCGGGUAAACGUAUCAAUUCUUAAAAAGUGUAAAUAAAUUGACAUUCAAGAGUUGCCAAUUCAGCACUGUUAUUAGAUCUAUAAAUUUGAUUUUUGUUAUCAGUAAAGUAAAACCAAACUUAAUAAUUUUGUAAUAUACGUAUGCACACCAUUCACGGUUCUACAAUCUGUCUAUAUCUGUAUCUUAUUAUUGCACAAGUCAAUAUUCAUAAAAUGUUUAUGUCGCAAUCAACAUUGAUAUUUCGAGUCUUCGAAUAAUACUUUGUUGUUAGUUGUAAUUGGAUUUGAACUAGCUGUCAGUAACUCAAGUACUCUGAUAUAUUCCUCAAUCUUUUUGUUUCGGGGGUGUAUAAAAAUCCUACACAUCUGGUCUGUGUCAUUUUUCUAUGUUUUUUUUUCUGCUUUGUAACAUUCUGACUAGUUAAGCUCUUUUCAUCUGAUUUUCAUAGUUUGUUCUAAUGUGGAAUUGUUACGCCACUGUCCUAGGUUUGGAGAGGUUUGGCGCCAGCAAACAUGUUUAACUCUACUACAUAAUGUAUUUACAUGUCCAUUGAUAAGAGCCUUAUAUUCAGUAGUUGUGGUUGGUUGCUGUGCAUCAUACUAGUAUGUUUUUUUUCUUUCAUUGUUGUUUAAAUUAUUUAAACCGUUAAUUUUCUCGUAAGUAUACAUUUGUGAUUUAGGGCCCUUUAUAGCUGAAUAUGUGGUAGGAAAUUUGCUCAUGUUUAAGACCGUACAUAGUUAUCAACUUAUUGUUAUUUGAUCUUUGAUGGAGAGUUAUUUCAUUUCUACCAUAUCCUCUCACUAAUAUAUGUACCGAAGGCACAUUUUUUUUCUGCUGGAGUCAUGUCCGACCGUUUAUUUUUAAUUGUUGAAUAUAUGAAAACUGCUCUAGAUUUCAGAGUCAAACCCCUUACUCAUACAUAUUCUAAAUUGGCCAAGAAUGUUUUGAAAAAAAGAAAAUCACAAAUUUUAUCUGUUGGCGGAGGUUGGAAAAGAGGAGUUUGACCCAUCUCACCGUUGAUAAUUUAAACAGUUCAAGCCCAACACAUCAUUUUUAUCGUUUAAGUAUUCAAUGUAUUUGUAAAAGAUGAUUGAGAGUGUUGAAACAAUUCGUUUGGAGUUUUCUUUACGAAAGUAACGUCUAGAAAUAACCGAGAAACAUGACUUUUAGUCGACCAAAACAGGUCAACUUAGUAGAUUUAAAAACAUGGAAAAUUCCAAUUUCAACCUUUCAAUCGAAGCAAAAUGUUUCUACAAAACAUUGAAUUAGGUGUAACUUUAGUUCGAGCAUUUUCUUUGACGUAUAAAGUUUUUAUAAACCAGGGUGCGCUUCUCAACACUGAUAUUUUUGUAGAAACAUGGUACAUAGUUGGUGGAGCUUGUGGAGGAGUAGUGUUAUUGGCUGUUAUUAUGUCAUUUUAUGUAUUGUAAAA
This 2669-nucleotide long non-coding RNA is filed under the name Mytilus galloprovincialis (Mediterranean mussel). The record is from RNAcentral. Lineage: Eukaryota; Metazoa; Mollusca; Bivalvia; Mytilida; Mytilidae.